This 1470-nucleotide unclassified non-coding RNA is filed under the name Monomorium pharaonis (pharaoh ant). RNAcentral's name for it is "uncharacterized LOC114253886, transcript variant X3". The record is from RNAcentral. Lineage: Eukaryota; Metazoa; Arthropoda; Insecta; Hymenoptera; Formicidae.
UUGGAUUCUCGUCGCGACCGCCGAUCUGAUAGGACGUGGAAUCCUUCUAGUUAAGUUAUAAUACGUCUUAGUGUUUAUCGUUCACACUCACAAUUAUUUUUGAAGAGGAUCGGCUUGAUUUACAACUCUAAAUUCUGGAGGAAUCUUCCUAAAAUUUCAUCCAUUGUACCACAGCCUGAUCGGGAACUAGACAGAAUCAAAUUCUGAGAUUGUCUGCGAAUUGAACUACGACGCACUGGCAUCCAUUUACCAUCAACUAUUACAUGGAUUGAGCAGUGAAUCUAUUGAGCUACUUUGACAUUUAAUAUUUUGGGAGUUUAAAUGAAGGAGAGCUUCUUUUGAGAAUACCAUGAUUCUGGUUAUACCUCAGUUUUCCCAAAAAUUCUACUACUCGCAAUUAAGUUAUGGUUGGAUAUUUUGGGAAUGAGUUCAUCAUCUAUCUUAACUACAGCUCGUAUUUGUUCCAUUCAUUUUGAAGAAGAAUCUUUUAAUAGAACAUGUUCAAUAAUUCGACUUAGGCCAAAUGCAUUGCUCAGUAGAACACUUACAAUGCAGCGAUUAUCUUUGGAAUCUAUAUACUGUUGAACAAUUUAUUAAUGAAAACGUAUUUAUUAAUUGAAACGGUAUCACAAGAAAUAAAUUAUUCGCCAAUAGUUCCAACAGAAUCAAUAGAUGUAAUCAAUGGAUCCUUCACCCAUAACAAAUAUUUGUUCACGUAAAAAUCAUUUUUCAUACAUAUUCUACCUACCUUCAAAGAAAUAGAAUUAAUAAAUAAAAUUUAAUAAUUUUUAAUCUGAUAUAAUUACUGUUAUUUAUUAUUUUAGCACAAUCGGUAUUUAAAGUGGCUAAAAUAACAAUGGUAUCAUCUACAUGCAUUUAUAAUUCUCCAGAAAAAUCUAGAUUACGGAAAAGAAUUAAAUUCUUGGAAGUACAACAUGCAAAAAAAAUGCGAUUUGCGCAACAAAAAAUACGACGGUAUAAGAAUCAAGUGAUCACACGCAAAGAAAUUUUAAACAAAUUAAAGAAUAAUAAAUUGUUGAAUGAAAUACAAAUUGACAUCAUACCCCACACAGCACGCUUUAUCCCGAGGAUAUCCCCAGGUUAUCGAGAUAUCCAAUUGGACAUAUUGCAUCCCAUGGAUGUUCUACGGUUAUUGCGAUAUUCCUCGGAUAUCUGGUGGAUUGCGAUAUCCUGUGCUGUGUGGGACAUAUGUUAGAUAAACCAAUAGGUGAGAUUUUUAAGCGAUUAAUUAUGCGAAAGAAAAAUGUUUGCGUACCUAAACAAUAUUCGUCGGAAAUACGUUCAUUUGCACUAACGCUACAUUAUUAUUCUGCAUAAGCUUAUGAAUAUGAUUACUUUAAUAAAUGCUUACCACAUGUAAAAACUCUUUCUUCUUGAUACAGAACUGUUAAUGGGGAACCUGGUAUUAGUUCAGAAACGUUAUAUUCCAUCACUGAACGUGUAAAAAAA